GUUCUUUUUAUUUUCCUACUUAAAACCCACACUGUAAACUUAGCCAAAGCCAGGAGGACUGUUACGUAAAGCAACAAAAACCCAACAACUAAACCUUUAAGUUUCUAUUUCAGGACAUAAACUGCACACGUUUCACCAGCAGCACCCCAGCAGGGAACAGCCGCAGCUCCCCAGCAGCAUCUCUGCAUCCUGGCAGCAGCCACAGCAGCAAACAGAGCAAAGAUAGGAGUGUCCCUGGUAAUUAAAAGAACUAAAACUCUGCCCCUUCUUGUUCCUUUUCCCUCCAAUACAUCACCUCUCUGCACAAAGACAUUUAAUUCUUUCAGAACUUCACAAAGGUUUUUGCUCACUUAAGUCACCUCAGUCAAGGAUAUUUACUGUUGUUAACCUCUUUGCUUGCAUAUAUGAUAUUGUUGGUAUGCGAAAGCUGUUAGACUCAUUAGGAAAGCAUCUACACCAGUGAUAUAUAAUUACAAUUCCUCAGGCUCAAGCCAGAUGCUCCAGACUGUCACGAAAACACUAACGUGUGCUGUUUCUAGUCACUGUUCUCUUUUAAGGUGAAAGCAAUGAGAAGUAGAUCACUCAACAUCACAUUUGGAAGAUAGCGUGCGUUAGGUGUGGAGUCCCAGCUGAUCUUCCUCUUCUGACCCAUUACAAACUUCUCCUUUCUUCUCUACCUCCUCCUGGUCCCAUCAAGCACUUCCCAUUUGCUGUGAGCUCCUGCUCUGGCUGCUCAGCUUGCUCCAUCUACAUGGCAGCAACUGAGACCACCUCACUGCACUGCCUCUCAGGCAAUGCUAGUCACCUUCCCAAACCUGCUCACCAGCUUUUGUACCACAAUAGGAACUUUCUACCUAGCGCUCUCUGCUACUGCAAUCAGACAACAUCUGUAUUUUCCUCUUUUUUCCACACUCCUUGUAGUGUUCAUGUUCUUGUCCAAACCACCUACUUAAGUGGAAUUUUUCAGUUCUUCCCCAGCUCCCCACUGCUCUGUACUUUCUUUGCAGGCACUUCCCAUUCCUUCCCCAUUAAUUCACUUCAAAGCCUUUUUCCUUGCAACAUUCACUAUAAAAUCCCACUGAUAGCAACCAUCUCUGGCAAAGGAAGGGUGGGCUGGAUCUGCACAGGACUCCUCACACCCUAAAACCAGCUUCUCCAUUUUGAGCGGUAGGUUGGUCACUGGGUUGACUGGUGCAGACCACUGAACAGGAAUGUCAAACUGGAAAGUACUGGUCUUGAACUAGAACUAAGGGGACAGCCUCUACAAAGGCCUCCCAUGUCUGUGCACUCAGAACUGAACAGAAAACACGCAGCUAAAACAAACACACACAUUACAAACAAAAAAAGACCAAACCCCUUACAUGCCCUAAUUUUGGUCUAGUGGCCUUAAUAUGUUGCUUCUCACUCAAGCAGGGAAUAUGUUUAAAAACCAGAACUGUAGAGGAAGGGAAAGAAGCUGUAAACCCAGGAGACCACAUGAAGGCACUGAGAAGCCAACAGUGCAUGCAUGCAGGUUGCUGAAAUGUAAAACUGAGCUUGUGGCAGAUGCGAUUAAUGCUUAAACAGAUUUCUGGUUCAAAUAAUCAUGAUUUAAUUUUUCAUAAUUCCUUUCC
Strigops habroptila (Kakapo) is the source of this 1613-nucleotide long non-coding RNA. The record is from Ensembl. Lineage: Eukaryota; Metazoa; Chordata; Aves; Psittaciformes; Psittacidae.